AUAUUAUUUAUAACUGUGUAUACCACAAUAGUUUAUCAAAUGUUUUAUAAGAAAAUCCUACACAAGACUAUAUAAAUGUUUUCAGAAAAAACACAAAUCAACAACAAUUUUUAAAUCUUAGCACUUCGUGCUUGAAAUAAUAUCUAACUCAAAUAUUCUAUAUGGAACUUUUUUUUCUUUCAAAAUCAGGGAAACAGAUGUGGUGGUGCUGAUGACACUUCUGGUGAAACUCUGGAUCCACAGACAGGAAAGGAGGACCUAGAACAACAAUCAGACUUUUGCAAAAUUAGGGAUUUUUCAAAAUAGUGGUUUUAUUAAAAGUACGGCUUUUCAAAAGUUUGGUUUCUCAAAGAAAGGUAGCUUGUUUCAAUAGGUUUCUCAAAGGUAGCUUGUUUCACUGGUUGCUCAAAAAAAAGGUAGCUUGUUUCACUGGUUGCUCAAAAAAAAGGUAGCUUGUUUCAAUAGGUUUCUCAGAGGUUUCUGGUACACUGGUUUCUCAGAGGUUUCUGGUACACUGGUUUCUCAGAGGUUUCUGGUACACUGGUUUCUCAGAGGUUUCUGGUACACUGGUUUCUGAAAGGUUUCUGGUACACUGGUUUCUCAGAGGUUUCUGGUACACUGGUUUCUGAAAGGUUUCUGGUACACUGGUUUCUCAGAGGUUUCUGGUACACUGGUUUCUGAAAGGCUUGUCACAAUGGUUUCUGAAAGGCUUGUCACAAUGGUUUCUGAAAAGCUGAUCAAUCAGAUAGAGCGGUAGAGGAGACUGGAAAGUCAGAUUAACCAAACUUAGUCAGAGGGAUAGAGAAAAGGGGGACACAAGAUAGAGUGGCUUUUCAAUUAGAUAGAGCGGUAGAGGAGACAGGAAAGUCAGAGCGUCCAAAAUGUAGCUAGAGGGAUAGAGAAAAGGGGGACACAAGAUAGAGUGGCUUUUCAAUAAGACAGAGAGGUAGAGGAGACAGGAAAGUCAGAGCGACCAAAAAGAUAGGGGAGAGUGGGGAGACUGGACACGAUAC
Molecule: non-coding RNA, 1013 nt
Organism: Xyrichtys novacula (pearly razorfish)
Lineage: Eukaryota; Metazoa; Chordata; Actinopteri; Labriformes; Labridae
Source: the annotation of a GenBank genome assembly